Molecule: long non-coding RNA, 5572 nt
Organism: Lagopus leucura (white-tailed ptarmigan)
Lineage: Eukaryota; Metazoa; Chordata; Aves; Galliformes; Phasianidae
Exons: 9
Source: RefSeq, a predicted model, not a curated record
UAAUCCAGAAAUAAUGGAUAUUCCUUUUGAAUUUUAAUUUAGAACUAAUUAGCUGUUUUGUUUUGGUUUGUUUUUUCAUGUUUGUAUUUAGAAUGCAAGGAUUGGCUUUGGCCUUUGGAAUAGAUUUUGUCACUGAGUUUCAGGAAGUGAAAGACCUCUCUAAACCUCAGAAAAAGAGGGCGCAUGAGCACAACCACUGCAAAAAACGAAAUUGUGAUUGUAAAAUUCAGUGGCAUAGAGAAUGACAAUAGGCUGGAAUAUCUCCAGAAUGCUAAAAAGCCCUCUGACAGUUGUGGAGAUGAGAAGGCGAUGAGAUUCAUCCCACAGAAAUCAAAUAUAAAAAUACUGAAACGUUAGGGAUGUGGAAACAAAUCACCCUGAGAGGGGAGGAAGGCAGCACUCGUUGUUCUGGGUGGCUGUUCCACUGGCUGACCUGUGGCAUGCACUUUGCAGUACUUCAGAAAGACAUUGGCAUGGGGUCAUCUGUUGAAAUAUUAACAGAAUUUGUCAGCAGUGUUUCCAGUAGUGAAACUUGGCUUUUUUUCGUUCCUUUCAUUCACUUGUGGCAGCAUUAUCUCUGCUUAUAGCCAGUUCUUUCCUUCCUGUAGCAACAGCGCUGUGUCUGCAGGAAGAAGCAGGGCUGGGAAGGUGGAGACGACGGUGUCCAUGGGCGUACUGCAUUUCUCUUAGCUUCAAAGAGGCAAAGUGGGGAGUAAAUCCUUCACAGCACUGAAACAGUUAUCAAAGUAAUCCUAUGGAGAGUCUGCCAUCGUUACAGAUCCCCUUUGGUCCUAACCUUUGAAGAAUAGAUGGAGGUGCUGAGUAGAGACUGAAAAUCUUGAUUCAGUUCCCAGUGCCACCAAAGGCUCUGUGAUUUAUGGGGCAAAAAAUCUCAGCCUCUCUCGAUUCAGUUCCCCAUGCACAACCACACAGAACUCUUUGGUGUAGGAGUGACCUCCUGAGAUGUUAUUUGUUUAUCUCACUGCCCCUUGAUUGAGUCCCUAGACGACAGCAGUGUGAAAUGAGCUGACCGGCUCUUUUCUCAGGCAGCUUGCUCCCAAACAGCACAAACACUGUGCUGAGUGUCCUUGCUCUCAAGUCGUUUUGAACAUUUUACUUUUUAUCAAAGGAUGUUUUUUCUUUGAGAUGAAGCCAUCUGCUCAAUAUUUAAUAGUAUUUUAUAAUCCCCUGUUUUCUCCCUAGAAAAAGCCCUUAAUAUGAGUCAUAAUACAAACAUAAUUUGUAAAUGAAAUGUAGGCCUGGAUCAAUACCCUUCUCCUUGCUGCAGGGUAGCAUAAUCACUGAAAGAUGUUCUAAUUGUUAUGAGGACAGGGAAUUGUUUCAUUUAUGUAAGUGAAAUGUGUUGUUAAGUUGUCUGAUGAUGGGAGUUGACUCUGAGGUUUCUGUACUUGUGGCAAAAUGUCAAUAUUCCUAAAGCAUCUUGCAGUCAGCAGUUUCAGAGAACAGGUUAUUUGCAAAAUAGCCUCCCCAUUAUAAUCCAGUGACACACGGAUCUGCUCCCUAGGUUCCAGCACUGGCCUUUCCAAAUCCAAAGUUAAAUGGAUUCUGCUCCAAGAGCUGAAUUGUCACUGAAACUGCUGUGCUUCAGACAGAUUUGCUGUUACUGAGAAAAUAGGGCUCCUAUAUCUUUCUACUGAAUAAUUUCUCAGGGACAUGUCUUCAGUGCAUGGUAGUACAGGAAUAUUGCAGUGUUGUAACUUUUGGAUAAGCUAAUAGACGUGCAAUCUUAGUUAGUGGAAACCUAGAUGCUCACAAACUUACUUGGGCAGAACAGUAAUUUGCUGUAAAAACAGCCCCCAAAAUUCAAUAGGAGAGUGUAUGCAGGUAUUGUUUAGUACAUGUAAAUGUAUUCAAACUUCAUUAGCUAAUACCAGUGAUUAGCAAAGUUACUUCUUGAUUUCUACUACAGCAAAGUUACUUCUUGAUUUCUACUACAGAAAAACUUAAGCUCUGUUCUGGUGGGCACUAGGAUUUUUCUCUGUGUAAUAAAUGAAAAUUACAUUUAAGCAUACACUCUUACCCCAUCAUCGUGAAGUCCUGCAUGUUCAAGGGAUGCUAUUCACAAUCACUGAAUUCUCCAAGUACUCAUACUUGCAGUGAGCCCCUCGGUACGUACAGAGCCCCACUUGUCCUCUUUGUGAACUGUUGGUCAAUUUUUGCCUUGGAUCAUUUCUGAUAGGCAAGAAAACCAAGUAGCUAUGUUCCAUAGGAAAACCACAUUUACUUAGACUGUGCUUCCCAGUUCCCAUUUCCCCCAGCACAGUGGAGAUCAUGUGUUCUUAUGCUCUCACCAGCUUACUUUUGGUCUUCCAUAAUUGCUUUUUCAGGGGCAGUGACAAGCACUUACCUCAGCAGGUGAAGAUUACCCUUUCCUCUGUUGUUUCCCUUACACUCAACACAGGAGCUGCUAACCUGAGUUGCUUCCCUAUAGCAUCACCAUUAUACUGCACAACAAAGAUGUCAUGUUAAAACGUUAUCACAAGAACCAUCCUUGCCAUAUUCGGCCUGGUCUCUGGUAGCAAAGAGGCUUUUCAACACGUAUCUGCAAAUCGUCUCCAGCAGGACCUCUCCCUGACCUGUGACAAGCAAGUGUGCAUCUUUCCUAUUGCAUACUGAGACUUGCAGUUGCCUGGGGUGUGAUGCUUUGGGGUCACCUCGGCUUAUCGAGGUCACUCCCCUGGCAUUUUGCUUUCUGAUAAGCAAGGUCACAGCCUUGGACAGUAGCCCUGCAAUUUGUACUUGUGCUGCGUGGACUCAGACCUGUGUGCGUACUCAGCUCUCACCCAGAUAAAAUAGCCUGUGAUGAAUUCCACUGUAAGAGCAGUAAAAAGAAGCUGUGUGAACAGGGUUUGGAGGAGCAGGGGAAGUACAUCUAGAGAGCACUUGAAACAGCCUGUUAAGAAAUUGCAGUGUAAUGCACAGCUCCUUGUCCUCAUCCACAAAGAGAACCCUGCAGGCAAAAGGCACCUAAGCAGGUCAGGUGCCAAAGGCUGCUCUGCUCUCUGUAUUCAAUUAGCCAGAUGCAGCAAAAUAAUGGACUCUAUUCAUUGAGUGCAAGUCUCAUUGCUUGUUUGACUUGAUGUGAUAGAAUCACCAUAGAUAAAGGCGCAAAUAGUACCUCAUUGUACCAAAACCUCAAAAUAAUAUGCUACUAAUGAAGGCAAUGUUAGUCAUAUAAACAUUCUAUAAACCCACUGAAGCAGUGAUGGAGCACCUGGUGGGAAGGCAGAGCCAGCCCAGGGGUGCUCAGGUGCAUGCAAUGCAAUGCACUGAGUGAUGGAAGGGUGGAACCAGGAUCCCCCUCUUCCCAGCCCUCAUUUAAGGGCUGGCAGUGAAGGCAAGAGGAUAUCACUGGAAAUCCCUGUGUACCUGAAGCUUUCUGAAGUGCUGCAGGCUUGGUUCUGGGAUGGCUCUUCAGCAUCAGCAAUGUCUGCCUUCCCCAUUUGACAGAAGCUCCAUUUCAGUGAUGCAGAAAAUUAAUAGGGGCACUAUAUUUCCUUUGUAUCCAGACCUAAAUACUGUUUCUAUGGCUGCAAACAUAGUAAUAUUUGAAGAAACAAAGAAGGAAAAAAUGCCAGACCCAAGCCUUGCUCACCUGGGGAUCCUGCGUGGGAUGUAAUCCAGCCCUGCUUCGGGACACAACCUUCUGCAUUGCAACCAGCACCAGCACUGAAGAGCAACUCGAGCAGCCUCAGAGGAGAUGACACACAUUGGGCUUCCAUGUCCACAUCCAUGCAGACGUGUUGCCAUCGUUGCCGGGCAGUCAGCAGGGACAGGACGUGGUGUGGCUGACAGCCUUGGGAUGAGGAUAUUCAAUUCUGAGUGACCUGUGAUCUGCUGUGACCUUAUGAGAUGUUGGUUAUGACGUGCUAUCAUUGAAACCUCUGCAAGAAGCUGAUGCUUCAGGAAUCCUAAGCAUCACCAGUCGAAACAAAUUUUGAACUUGCAAGCUGGGAAGGGAGAAAGCAGUUUCCUUUCGAUCUUACUCCAGACAUCCUUUAUUCCACUCCUGUUGUCAUUUCUGCAAACUGCUCAUGUUGGCACCUGUCUGUGCAGUGACAGAUUUGUGAUGACAGCUUGCAUAACUUAUUUAUAAAAUGAUGGAUUAUUUUGGAAUUUAACUUCAAGUUCACAGACUGGAAAAGUGGAGAAACACCUGCUUCUUGCAGAGGACCUGGCAGGGAGCAAGGAUGCUGGACCAUUGUAAUUCAAAAGAGGAAAGACACAGGCAGUCCUAUUGUCAGAGCCUUCAUUCAAGUCCAUUGAAGGACUGGAAGCAUGACCAAAGACAAAAGGAUGUGAGAUAUUUCUGAAGAGCCCUGAAGUGAUGUGUGCCACACGUGUGAAUUGCUCCACACACCCAACCCAGCACCAGGUGCCACCUGACCGCCUCAUGCUCGCAGAAGACAGAAAUCAGAAGAGCUUUUUCCAACCCAAACCUCUCUCUCUGGGUUUUCUCUCCUGACCUCUGAGUGUGAAGGCAUACCGCUCUCAAAAGGCAUUCUGAAACUUCCAGCCAUCCCUUGUAUCACACAUCUUUUGCUUUCUGCUUUUAUGACCAGCUCAUAUGACCCAUGGGACCCCGUGCUUCUGGGUGAAAUCAGCCACCCCAUCGGAAAGCCAUCGUGCAGAGGCAAUUACUUCUCUGCCAUCACUAUUCACCCCAUAUCCUGCUUUCUGUUGGAAGAAACGUUGGCCCGGUUGUCUGGCUUCUAAUUAAGAACACUUCAUUAUAUCUCAGGGACUGGGAAACCUCAUCUGUAUCUAUUUAUGUAGCACACCUAUGGCUGCAGGAAAAAAACAUCUUUUUUCGAGUCAUGGGUUUUGUGCCAUGACGUGGCAGUUAGUUAUCUGCAGCAACAUCAGGUAACAGCACCACCUUCUGCCAACAUGAUACCAUCUCCUUAGAAAACCAACAGAUUAAUUUUCUCUCUGUGAUUUCCGUGGCUUUCUCAAACAUUUCUGACGCAGAAGAACACCACCCUAAGGGCUGUUUUGAAACACCCCAAGCUGCCUUGAACAGUGAUGAAAUGACCAACAUGUAACCAACUUUAGAGGAGCACUGAAUGCCCUGAGCUGGGCAACACAACUCUCGCUCCUGGGAGGACAGCUGAGCACACCCAUCUGAGUCUUCAUGGAAAACUGCCUUCUUCUCCUCCCUCUUUUACAUAGGUCCCCAGAGCUGCACACAAGGCUACGUCCUAGAUCUUUAGAUGACAUAAGCUGCCUGAAAAUAAUCAUCUUUCUUGCUUUUUUCCUCUAGGUUCUCUUUGUCCUUAGCAGACAACCCGGGGCUGCCCUGCCUUCAGCUUCAGACAGCCAAAUUUUAGGCAGUUGGCUUUCAGAGAGAUGAACAUUACACAAUAUAAGUAUUCACUUUUAAGAGCACAACUGUGUCUUUACCUCAACAAACGCCCUAUUUUCCUGACAUAUUCUUCCUUCCAUGUGGGACCGAGGUGCACACAGAUCCAAGGAACCCAGGAGGAAUGUCAGUGGACACAUAGGUGAAGAAUAAGGUGCUGAUGAGCCAAUCAAUAAACCAGUAAUUAGC